Molecule: microRNA precursor, 286 nt
Filed under: Oryza sativa (Asian cultivated rice)
Lineage: Eukaryota; Viridiplantae; Streptophyta; Magnoliopsida; Poales; Poaceae
Description: miR399d stem-loop (osa-MIR399d)
Gene: osa-MIR399d
Source: miRBase by way of RNAcentral
AAGACAGUAGUAGGCAGCUCUCCUCUGGCAGGUGCAUUCUAGGUGAUUUUGUAAUUGUAUAUGCAUCCAAGGUAUAUACAGUCCGGCCAUGGUGCUACAUUGCAAUCAUCCAUAUGUGAUUGCAUUGUGUAUAUAUAUACAUGGUGGCCUUUGAUAGACCAUCAUAUAUCGGUUGGUUAUGUGCAUGUAUGUAUAUACCAGCUGCUACUAGCUUUGAUCGAUCGCCAUGUAGCGAUUGAAUUCACCAAAACGGCCUGCCAAAGGAGAGUUGCCCUGCGACUGUCUU